ACUGGUAAAACGAUGCUUGAGCUUAAAGCUAUUCAGUUUUGAAGGAACACAGAAGUUAAGCCUCCAGGGCCGAUGGUACUUGGGGCGCAAGCCCCCGGGAGAGUAGGUCGUCGCCAGAG
Molecule: ribosomal RNA, 119 nt
Filed under: Desulforamulus profundi
Lineage: Bacteria; Bacillati; Bacillota; Clostridia; Eubacteriales; Peptococcaceae
Source: RNAcentral